This 81-nucleotide transfer RNA is filed under the name Cylindrobasidium torrendii FP15055 ss-10. It matches the Rfam family "tRNA". Rfam says of the family: Transfer RNA (tRNA) molecules are approximately 80 nucleotides in length. Their secondary structure includes four short double-helical elements and three loops (D, anti-codon, and T loops). Lineage: Eukaryota; Fungi; Basidiomycota; Agaricomycetes; Agaricales; Physalacriaceae. The record is from Rfam by way of RNAcentral.
UGCCCCAUGGCUGAGUUGGUUACAGCGUCCGACUGUUAUUGAGCAAUCGGAAGGUCGUGAGUUCGAGCCUCACUGGGGCAG